UUAAGUCAGGCAACGAGCGAGACCCACGCCCACAGUUGCCAGCGUACUCUCCGGAGUGACGGGUACACUGUGGGGACCGCCGCUGCUAAAGCGGAGGAAGGAAUGGGCAACGGUAGGUCAGUAUGCCCCGAAUGUCCCGGGCUACACGCGAGCUACAAUGGUUGGUACAAUGGGUAUCUACCCCGAAAGGGGAUGGAAAUCUCCUAAAGCCAAUCUUAGUUCGGAUUGAGGGCUGCAACUCGCCCUCAUGAAGCUGGAAUCCGUAGUAAUCGCGUUUCAACAGAACGCGGUGAAUACGUCCCUGCUCCUUGCACA
RNAcentral lists this ribosomal RNA (315 nucleotides) under uncultured methanogenic archaeon. Its description in RNAcentral is "bacterial SSU rRNA". It matches the Rfam family "Archaeal small subunit ribosomal RNA", at positions 1029 to 1343 of the family's 1478-position model. The record is from RNAcentral. Lineage: Archaea; Methanobacteriati; Methanobacteriota.